CCAAGGGGCAACCUCCGGUCUCGAAAAAUGAAGCCAAUGCGGAAUUUUUUAUAACUCAUCGGAUUUUAUUCUAUUAAGGAAAAUGACUAUGCCCAUAUAAGGGUUGUGGCAGAUUUGAUUAACAGCUCUGCGCGCUGCAUCUGUCUGUCAGGUCAGCAGGUCAGGAGGUCAGCAGGUCAGGAGGCUAACAGCUUGAUCUGUCUGAUUUCUCUUUUUUACUUCGUUUGGAGAGUUUGUUUAACACAUAUCUGACAACAUACAUGGCUUGCUGUGCGGUUAACAGACCAUCCAAGAAGUUGAUGCUUCAUUUUUUUUCGACCCCGCACUAAAAGUCCAUGUUCUCCUGGAUCCAUGUCACACGCUCAAGCUUCUUCAGAAUGACUUUUCAACAGUCAAAGUUCUGGUGAGAGAAGAUGGCCAGCAGAUAAGACUGCAGUACAUGAAGGAGCUCCACAAGCUUCAGGAGGAGGAGGAGGGUUUGCACCUUGGAAGACUGUAUUCAUGCUUCAGCUGUUCAAAUAAAAAUAGAUCUCCUCCAAAUAACUUGCAAUCAAACCAUUUUC
Molecule: long non-coding RNA, 563 nt
Organism: Labrus mixtus (cuckoo wrasse)
Lineage: Eukaryota; Metazoa; Chordata; Actinopteri; Labriformes; Labridae
Exons: 3
Source: RefSeq, a predicted model, not a curated record